AACGAACGCUGGCGGCGUGCUUAACACAUGCAAGUCGAACGAGAAAAUUCCCUUCGGGGAGUGAGUAAAGUGGCAGACGGGUCAGUAACACGUGGACAACCUGCCCCUAGGUGGAGGACAACUUGUCGAAAGACGGGCUAAUACUCCAUAAGACCACAGCUUCUUCGGAAGCAGCGGUCAAAGGUGGUGCAAAUUAUCGCCAAGGGAUGGGUCCGCGGACCAUUAGCUUGUUGGUGAGGUAACGGCUCACCAAGGCUCAGAUGGUUAGCUGGUCUGAGAGGACGAUCAGCGACACUGGAACUGAGACACGGUCCAGACUUCUACGGAAGGCAGCAGUGGGGAAUCUUGGACAAUGGGCGAAAGCCUGAUCCAGCAACGCCGCGUGAGUGAUGAAGGCCCCCGGGUUGUAAAGCUCUGUCGGUGGGAACGAAUCUGGCUGUUAACACCAGCCACUGACGGUACCCAUAAAGGAAGCACCGGCUAACUCCGUG
RNAcentral lists this ribosomal RNA (491 nucleotides) under uncultured bacterium. Its description in RNAcentral is "bacterial SSU rRNA". It matches the Rfam family "Bacterial small subunit ribosomal RNA", at positions 29 to 507 of the family's 1533-position model. The record is from RNAcentral.